This 2074-nucleotide ribosomal RNA is filed under the name Salmonella enterica. RNAcentral's name for it is "partial 23S ribosomal RNA". It matches the Rfam family "Bacterial large subunit ribosomal RNA", at positions 747 to 2802 of the family's 2925-position model. The record is from RNAcentral. Lineage: Bacteria; Pseudomonadati; Pseudomonadota; Gammaproteobacteria; Enterobacterales; Enterobacteriaceae. RNAcentral also lists the same sequence under 1 other name.
GAAGGUUGGGUAACACUAACUGGAGGACCGAACCGACUAAUGUUGAAAAAUUAGCGGAUGACCUGUGGCUGGGGGUGAAAGGCCAAUCAAACCGGGAGAUAGCUGGUUCUCCCCGAAAGCUAUUUAGGUAGCGCCUCGUGAAUUCAUCUCCGGGGGUAGAGCACUGUUUCGGCUAGGGGGCCAUCCCGGCUUACCAACCCGAUGCAAACUGCGAAUACCGGAGAAUGUUAUCACGGGAGACACACGGCGGGUGCUAACGUCCGUCGUGAAGAGGGAAACAACCCAGACCGCCAGCUAAGGUCCCAAAGUCAUGGUUAAGUGGGAAACGAUGUGGGAAGGCCCAGACAGCCAGGAUGUUGGCUUAGAAGCAGCCAUCAUUUAAAGAAAGCGUAAUAGCUCACUGGUCGAGUCGGCCUGCGCGGAAGAUGUAACGGGGCUAAACCAUGCACCGAAGCUGCGGCAGCGACACUGUGUGUUGUUGGGUAGGGGAGCGUUCUGUAAGCCUGUGAAGGUGUGUCGUGAGGCAUGCUGGAGGUAUCAGAAGUGCGAAUGCUGACAUAAGUAACGAUAAAGCGGGUGAAAAGCCCGCUCGCCGGAAGACCAAGGGUUCCUGUCCAACGUUAAUCGGGGCAGGGUGAGUCGACCCCUAAGGCGAGGCCGAAAGGCGUAGUCGAUGGGAAACGGGUUAAUAUUCCCGUACUUGGUGUUACUGCGAAGGGGGGACGGAGAAGGCUAUGUUGGCCGGGCGACGGUUGUCCCGGUUUAAGCGUGUAGGUGUGUGUUCCAGGUAAAUCCGGUUCACUUUAACACUGAGGCGUGACGACGAGGCACUACGGUGCUGAAGCAACAAAUGCCCUGCUUCCAGGAAAAGCCUCUAAGCAUCAGGUAACAUCAAAUCGUACCCCAAACCGACACAGGUGGUCAGGUAGAGAAUACCAAGGCGCUUGAGAGAACUCGGGUGAAGGAACUAGGCAAAAUGGUGCCGUAACUUCGGGAGAAGGCACGCUGACACGUAGGUGAAGUGAUUUACUCAUGGAGCUGAAGUCAGUCGAAGAUACCAGCUGGCUGCAACUGUUUAUUAAAAACACAGCACUGUGCAAACACGAAAGUGGACGUAUACGGUGUGACGCCUGCCCGGUGCCGGAAGGUUAAUUGAUGGGGUCAGCGCAAGCGAAGCUCCUGAUCGAAGCCCCGGUAAACGGCGGCCGUAACUAUAACGGUCCUAAGGUAGCGAAAUUCCUUGUCGGGUAAGUUCCGACCUGCACGAAUGGCGUAAUGAUGGCCAGGCUGUCUCCACCCGAGACUCAGUGAAAUUGAACUCGCUGUGAAGAUGCAGUGUACCCGCGGCAAGACGGAAAGACCCCGUGAACCUUUACUAUAGCUUGACACUGAACAUUGAGCCUUGAUGUGUAGGAUAGGUGGGAGGCUUUGAAGUGUGGACGCCAGUCUGCAUGGAGCCGACCUUGAAAUACCACCCUUUAAUGUUUGAUGUUCUAACGUGGACCCGUUACCCGGGUUGCGGACAGUGUCUGGUGGGUAGUUUGACUGGGGCGGUCUCCUCCUAAAGAGUAACGGAGGAGCACGAAGGUUGGCUAAUCCUGGUCGGACAUCAGGAGGUUAGUGCAAUGGCAUAAGCCAGCUUGACUGCGAGCGUGACGGCGCGAGCAGGUGCGAAAGCAGGUCAUAGUGAUCCGGUGGUUCUGAAUGGAAGGGCCAUCGCUCAACGGAUAAAAGGUACUCCGGGGAUAACAGGCUGAUACCGCCCAAGAGUUCAUAUCGACGGCGGUGUUUGGCACCUCGAUGUCGGCUCAUCACAUCCUGGGGCUGAAGUAGGUCCCAAGGGUAUGGCUGUUCGCCAUUUAAAGUGGUACGCGAGCUGGGUUUAGAACGUCGUGAGACAGUUCGGUCCCUAUCUGCCGUGGGCGCUGGAGAACUGAGGGGGGCUGCUCCUAGUACGAGAGGACCGGAGUGGACGCAUCACUGGUGUUCGGGUUGUCAUGCCAAUGGCACUGCCCGGUAGCUAAAUGCGGAAGAGAUAAGUGCUGAAAGCAUCUAAGCACGAAACUUGCCCCGA